UACGGAGGGGGCUAGCGUUGUUCGGAAUUACUGGGCGUAAAGCGCACGUAGGCGGACCAGAAAGUCAGGGGUGAAAUCCCGGGGCUCAACCCCGGAACUGCCCUUGAAACUCCUGGUCUUGAGUUCGAGAGAGGUGAGUGGAAUUCCGAGUGUAGAGGUGAAAUUCGUAGAUAUUCGGAGGAACACCAGUGGCGAAGGCGGCUCACUGGCUCGAUACUGACGCUGAGGUGCGAAAGCGUGGGGAGCAAACAGGAUUAGAAACCCUCGUAGUCC
This 273-nucleotide ribosomal RNA is filed under the name uncultured prokaryote. RNAcentral describes it as "partial 16S ribosomal RNA". It matches the Rfam family "Bacterial small subunit ribosomal RNA", at positions 524 to 796 of the family's 1533-position model. The record is from RNAcentral.